UGUUCAAAUAUGAGGAAGGGCUGUUACAUUAGGGGUCCGUUAAAGGAGGAGUUCACAUUUCCUGCAAGUUCUGCUCCCUUCAAUAGUUGUCAUGCCUCUACCAUUGUUGNNNNGGGCAAAGAUCACUUUUUAGUUGCCUAUUUUGGGGGUACCAUGGAGGGGGCGCCUGAUGUGAAAAUUUGGUUACAGACAUACAAAGACGGUAGUUGGCAAUCAC
RNAcentral lists this unclassified non-coding RNA (217 nucleotides) under Hevea brasiliensis (rubber tree). Lineage: Eukaryota; Viridiplantae; Streptophyta; Magnoliopsida; Malpighiales; Euphorbiaceae. The record is from RNAcentral.